RNAcentral lists this long non-coding RNA (773 nucleotides) under Equus asinus (donkey). RNAcentral's name for it is "lncRNA (ENSEASG00005026820.1)". Lineage: Eukaryota; Metazoa; Chordata; Mammalia; Perissodactyla; Equidae. The record is from RNAcentral.
GUGAGUUGACUUUGGGAUACAGGUUUGAACUCUAGAAUUUAGCAUACCAGCUGGGUCUAGAGACAGAAAUUUGGGUGUCGUCAGUCCAUAAAUAUUUAAAGCCACGGUACUAGAUAAAAUCUUGUGGGAAUGGGCAUACAUAGAAUAGGGAAGGGUUUAGCACUCAGAUAAAUGAGAAGGUGCUAGCAAAGGAUACUGAGUUGGAGAAAAUCAAGAAAGUGUGGUGGCUUGAAGUCAAGUGAAGAAAGAAUUUUGAGGAGGCAGAUGUGAUAAAGUGCCAGGUGGUGCUCGUAGGUGAAGCACGCUGGGGACUAAACAUUGCUCAUUGGAUUUAGCAGAGGGAAGCGACCUUGACAAGAGCAGUUUUAGUAGAGCAGUGCCAGGAAAAGCCUGGUUUAGUAAGUUCCAAAGAAAAACACACAGGAGAAUUUUUAGAGAAUUAUUUUGAGUUCUGCUGUAAAAGGAAGAUAAUCGCAUCCUAAAUUUCAAAGCAUUCUUGAGAACCUGGAGGCCUGUUGUGGUGAGCUCCUAAAACCCUUGGAAUCUUCUAAGUGAUGAGAGGGACAAAGGAGUCUUUUGUUUCAGUCCCAUCCCUCCGGCCUCUGGGAAGGUCACGGCCACAGCACGGCUGAAGAGUGAUGUAUGUCUGCACCGGGGAUCCAAACCCAUGAACCCCGGCCACUGAAGCAGAGCAUGCUGAACUUAACAACUAGGCAAUGCAACAGGCUCCCCAAUGUUUUUUGAUCAUGGACUCUGUAUCACUUUAUGCCACU